Gekko japonicus is the source of this 386-nucleotide long non-coding RNA. RefSeq lists it as uncharacterized. The record is from RefSeq and is a predicted model, not a curated record. The transcript is spliced from 3 exons. NCBI's taxonomy places the organism in Eukaryota, Metazoa, Chordata, Lepidosauria, Squamata, Gekkonidae.
GGCAGGGGGGAAGGAGCAGGCGGGGAAGGGGUAAGCCCCACCGGAGGAACCCAACUCGCUCAGAACAGCAAUAGUGGCGGCGGCAGCAGCGGCAGCGGCAAGGAAGAGACUGGAGCCGGCAGAGAGCAGGAAGCAGUCUUAGCCUCGGCAGCCCUGCGUGGCGCUGGCGGCAGCGGCGGCGGCGGCGGCAGCAAACAGCAGCCAGACAAGCAGGGGACUCAUGGCAAAUAACAGUUUGCGUAUCCACAACUCUUUGCCUUUAUACUGGUCAGCAAGUCAAAUUUAUAAUGGCAAAGCCAGGACGACACGCAAGCGUGGACGGCGCAGGCGGGGCGGAGCCGCGAGGACUGAGCCAAGGCCACUCCGGAGCAUGCCGCGUGACAGAA